UACGAAGGGGGCUAGCGUUGUUCGGAAUUACUGGGCGUAAAGCGCGCGCAGGCGGUCUUCCAAGUCAGUGGUGAAAGCCCGGAGCUCAACUCCGGAACUGCCAUUGAAACUGUGAGACUGGAGUACGAGAGAGGUGAGUGGAAUUCCCAGUGUAGAGGUGAAAUUCGUAGAUAUUGGGAAGAACACCGGUGGCGAAGGCGGCUCACUGGCCCGAUACUGACGCUGAGGCACGAAAGCGUGGGGAGCAAACAGG
RNAcentral lists this ribosomal RNA (253 nucleotides) under uncultured bacterium. RNAcentral's name for it is "partial 16S ribosomal RNA". It matches the Rfam family "Bacterial small subunit ribosomal RNA", at positions 524 to 776 of the family's 1533-position model. The record is from RNAcentral.